Non-coding RNA from Triticum aestivum (bread wheat), 135 nucleotides. Lineage: Eukaryota; Viridiplantae; Streptophyta; Magnoliopsida; Poales; Poaceae. The record is from Rfam.
UAGCUACUCUCUCCGUCCGAAAAUACUUGUCAUCAAAAUGGAUAAAAAUAGAUGUAUCUAGAACUAAAAUACGUGUAUAUACAUCCCCUUUUAUCCAUUUUGAUGACAAGUAGUUCCGGACGGAGGGAGUAUGAA